ACCACACAACCUGGCGGAGCUAACACAUCCAGUUGAGCGCGCUUCGGGUGAGCGGCGGACGGUAGUACGCGUGGGAACGUACCCUUCUCUACGGAAUAGCCUUUGGAAACGAAGAGUAAUACCGUAUACGCCCUUUGGGGGAAAGAUUUAUCGGAGAAGGAUCGGCCCGCGUUAGAUUAGAUAGUUGGUGGGGUAACGGCCUACCAAGUCUACGAUCUAUAGCUGGUUUUAGAGGAUGAUCAGCAACACUGGGACUGAAAAACGGGCCCAGACUCCUACGGGAGGCAGCAGUGGGGGAAUCUUAGAACAAUGGGGCGCAGCCUGAUCUAGCCAUGCCGCGUGUGUGAUGAAGGCCUUAGGGUCGUAAAGCACUUUCGCCAGAGAUGAUACUGACAGUAUCUGGUAAAGAAACCCCGGGUAAACUCCUGUGCAGCAGCCGCGGGCAAUACGGAGGGGGUUAGCGUUGUACCGGAAUUACUGGGCGUAAAGCGUACGUAAGCCGAUUAAGCCGGUCGCACUUAAAUUCCCGGGGGUCCAACCCCUGCGAAUAGCCGUCUGAUAACUGCUAAGUCUAUGAGUUCCAAGAAGAAGUGAAGUUGGACUCCCAAGUGGUAGAAGAUGGAACAUCCGAGAUAUAUGGGAGGAGACACCCGUGUGGAAAGG
This 663-nucleotide ribosomal RNA is filed under the name uncultured Roseobacter sp. RNAcentral describes it as "bacterial SSU rRNA". It matches the Rfam family "Bacterial small subunit ribosomal RNA", at positions 21 to 722 of the family's 1533-position model. The record is from RNAcentral. Lineage: Bacteria; Pseudomonadati; Pseudomonadota; Alphaproteobacteria; Rhodobacterales; Roseobacteraceae.